This is a non-coding RNA of Talpa occidentalis (Iberian mole), 1125 nucleotides long. The record is from the annotation of a RefSeq genome assembly. NCBI's taxonomy places the organism in Eukaryota, Metazoa, Chordata, Mammalia, Eulipotyphla, Talpidae.
ACCAUGGGUGCCCGGCUCCUGGGCAGUGUGAUGCUUUUCCUCCUGGGGGCAGGCCAUGGAGCAGCAGAAGUGACCCAGUUCCCCAGAUACCGCAUCACGUUGCCCAAGAGGAAGCAGGUGUUGGAGUGUUCUCAGAGCACAAAUCACGACGCCAUGUACUGGUAUCGGCAAGACCCAGGCCUGGGCCUGAAGCUGAUCUACUACUCCAUUAAUAUUAACAUAACUGAGAAGGGAGAUGGUUCUGAGGGAUACGAGGUCUCCCGAAUAGACAAGAAGAGUUUCCCCCUGACCCUGAAGUCAACCGCCCUGGAGCAGACCUCUCUGUACCUCUGUGCCAGCAGCCACUGUGCGAACACCCAAGUCUUCUUUGGAGAAGGCACCAGGCUCACCGUCGUAGUGGACCCAAACAAGGUCAGGGCGCCCACGGUCACCGUGUUCGAGCCAUCUGAGGCAGAGGUCAAUCGCACCCAGAAGGCCACGCUCGUGUGCCUGGCCACUGACUUCUACCCCAACCACGUGGAGCUGAUCUGGCUGGUGAACGAGAAGGAGGUCAGCAGUGGGGUCAGCACGGACCCCGAGCCCUACGAGGAUCCGACUGACAACACCACCUACUACCUGAGCAGCCGGCUCAGGGUCUCUGCCAGCUUCUGGCACAACCCACGCAACCAAUUCGUCUGCCAAGUCCAGUUCCAUGGCUUCACGGAGGAAGACGCGAAGGGGUUAGAGAACAAAACCCGAGCCCUCACCCAGAAAGUCAGCGCCCAAGUCUGGGGCAGAGCAGACUGUGGCCUCAACUCAGCAUCCUACCGGCAGGGGCUCCUGUCUGCCACCCUCCUCUAUGAGAUCCUGCUGGGGAAGGCCGCCGUGUACGCCCUGCUGGUCAGCGCCCUGGUGCUGAUGACCACGGUCAAGAGAAAGGACUCCUGAGCCGCUCAGAGCGUCCCCACUGGUACUGCUGACAUGGGUGCCCUUCACCCUCCCGCCAGCGCUUUCGGAGAGCUGUUCUCCUGCCUCCCCACCCCAUCGCCCGCUUCCUCUGUGCGUGCAUGCCUGGACACGCAUGGCCGACACUCCCACCCUGGGGACCCUAGCGUGCCUGGUCAACUGAACCAAUAAAGGUCACUU